Molecule: ribosomal RNA, 253 nt
Filed under: uncultured bacterium
Lineage: Bacteria
Description: partial 16S ribosomal RNA
Rfam family: Bacterial small subunit ribosomal RNA
Source: RNAcentral
GACAGAGGGUGCAAACGUUGUUCGGAAUUACUGGGCGUAAAGCGUGCGCAGGCGGCUUUGCAAGACAGAUGUGAAAUCCCCGGGCUUAACCUGGGAACUGCAUUUGUGACUGCAAGGCUGGAGUGCGGCAGAGGGGGAUGGAAUUCCGCGUGUAGCAGUGAAAUGCGUAGAUAUGCGGAGGAACACCGAUGGCGAAGGCAAUCCCCUGGGCCUGCACUGACGCUCAUGCACGAAAGCGUGGGGAGCAAACAGG